CCUACGGGUGGCAGCAGUGGGGAAUAUUGCACAAUGGGCGCAAGCCUGAUGCAGCCAUGCCGCGUGUGUGAAGAAGGCCUUCGGGUUGUAAAGCACUUUCAGCGGGGAGGAAGGCGGUGAGGUUAAUAACCUCAUCGAUUGACGUUACCCGCAGAAGAAGCACCGGCUAACUCCGUGCCAGCAGCCGCGGUAAUACGGAGGGUGCAAGCGUUAAUCGGAAUUACUGGGCGUAAAGCGCACGCAGGCGGUCUGUCAAGUCGGAUGUGAAAUCCCCGGGCUCAACCUGGGAACUACAUUCGAAACUGGCAGGCUAGAGUCUUGUAGAGGGGGGUAGAAUGCCAGGUGUAGCGGUGAAAUGCGUAGAGAUCUGGAGGAAUACCGGUGGCGAAGGCGGCCCCCUGGACAAAGACUGACGCUCAGGUGCGAAAGCGUGGGGAGCAAACAGGAUUAGAUACCCCAGUAGUC
RNAcentral lists this ribosomal RNA (465 nucleotides) under uncultured Klebsiella sp. RNAcentral's name for it is "bacterial SSU rRNA". It matches the Rfam family "Bacterial small subunit ribosomal RNA", at positions 338 to 795 of the family's 1533-position model. The record is from RNAcentral. Lineage: Bacteria; Pseudomonadati; Pseudomonadota; Gammaproteobacteria; Enterobacterales; Enterobacteriaceae.